This 254-nucleotide ribosomal RNA is filed under the name uncultured bacterium. Its description in RNAcentral is "partial 16S ribosomal RNA". It matches the Rfam family "Bacterial small subunit ribosomal RNA", at positions 524 to 776 of the family's 1533-position model. The record is from RNAcentral.
UACGAGGGGGGCAAGCGUUGUUCGGAAUUAUUGGGCGUAAAGGGCGCGUAGGCGGCGCGGUAAGUCACUUGUGAAAUCUCUGAGCUUAACUCAGAACGGCCAAGUGAUACUGCAGUGCUAGAGUGCAGAAAGGGCAAUCGGAAUUCUUGGUGUAGCGGUGAAAUGCGUAGAUAUCAAGAGGAACACCUGAGGCGAAGGCGGGUUGCUAGGCUGACACUGACGCUGAGUGCGCGAAAGCCAGGGGAGCAAACGGG